ACCCUGGGCAGUUGCUUGGCUGGAUCUUAUUAAUCCAGCUCUGACUGAAAUCUAGGCAUCUGGGCAUAUCUGGAAGACUAAAGGGACAGGCUUCCAGGAGACUAUUUGCAUGAAGGGCCAAGAAAGGCCAUGGAAGAAAGGAUUACUGGAAAAAGAAGCAUCCUAAUGAGUCAGACCCACAAACUUGUCUCAGCACCUCCCAUUUUCUAGUGGCAGCUCCAUUUGCCCUAGGGACCUUCGGAAUAUUCCCUGACUUCUCCUGCUUCCUCUCCUGAUCCAGAAUGCGGCUCUGGCACUGAGGAGUAGUGAGCUCGGUGCUCUUCACCACAGGUACCAGCAGCAGAACAUCAGGGGACCCGUGGAGACCAGAGAAGGAGAGGAGGAGCAUGGAGGAUGUCACGUGGGACUUGGACGGACUUGUUGAUGAGCACAGGUCCCCACUGUUCCUGGGCAUCCAGAACUCAGGGAAGACCAGCCAGAGGUACUGGACAGAUACAUAUGCGGAAUUGAUGUACCUGGAGUUUCCACCUUUGUCAUAGCAAAUUUCCAUAUACACAUGAGUCUGUUCCUGGCUUCUUUUUUCUAUCACUGCGGCAAUACCACAACGCAUUGCCUGCCGUAGCAUCACAGUAAGUCUUGAUUUCAAGCAGAGAAAAUCUUUACCCUUUCUUCUUCAAGAGAGUGUGAGUUAUCCUUGGGCCACUGCAUUCCCAUAUAAAUUCUAGAAUGAGUCUGUCAAAUUCCACCAGAAAUUCCCAACAUACCCUUGGAAUUUUCACUGAGAUUGAAUUGAAUUCAUAGAUCAAUUUCAGGAAAAUAUACAUUUUUACAGCAUCAAGUCUUCCUAUUCAUCAGUAUUGUAUACCCCACUCCAUUUCAGUUCAGUUCAGUCACUCAGUUGCAUCCGACUCUUUACGACCCCAUGAACCGCAGCACACCAGGCCUCCCUGUCCAUCACCAUUUAUUUAAGCAUUUAAUUUUUCUUAAAAAUGUUUAUAGCUUUUCCUAUGUAAAUCUUACAUGUCAUUUUUAGAUUUAGAACUAGAAAGUUUUUAUAUUUUUUGUUAUAUUUUUUUAAAUUUCAUAUUCUAAUUCUGCUGCUGAAAAAUAGAUAAGCAAACGAUUGUUUUUUGUUAGCAAUCUUGCUAAUUUUCCCUAAAA
Molecule: long non-coding RNA, 1161 nt
Organism: Bos indicus x Bos taurus (hybrid cattle)
Lineage: Eukaryota; Metazoa; Chordata; Mammalia; Artiodactyla; Bovidae
Source: Ensembl